This 759-nucleotide ribosomal RNA is filed under the name Arsenophonus symbiont of Hippobosca equina. RNAcentral describes it as "bacterial SSU rRNA". It matches the Rfam family "Bacterial small subunit ribosomal RNA", at positions 444 to 1196 of the family's 1533-position model. The record is from RNAcentral. Lineage: Bacteria; Pseudomonadati; Pseudomonadota; Gammaproteobacteria; Enterobacterales; Morganellaceae.
GAGGAAGGUGUUAAGGUUAAUAACCUUAGCAAUUGACGUUAGCGACAGAAGAAGCACCGGCUAACUCCGUGCCAGCAGCCGCGGUAAUACGGAGGGUGCGAGCGUUAAUCGGAAUUACUGGGCGUAAAGGGCACGCAGGCGGUUAAUUAAGUUGGAUGUGAAAUCCCCGGGCUUAACCUGGGAAUGGCAUUCAAGACUGGUUAGCUAGAGUCUUGUAGAGGGGGGUAGAAUUCCAUGUGUAGCGGUGAAAUGCGUAGAGAUGUGGAGGAAUACCGGUGGCGAAGGCGGCCCCCUGGACAAAGACUGACGCUCAUGUGCGAAAGCGUGGGGAGCAAACAGGAUUAGAUACCCUGGUAGUCCACGCUGUAAACGAUGUCGAUUUGGAGGUUGUGGUCAAGAACUGUGGCCUCCGGAGCUAACGCGUUAAAUCGACCGCCUGGGGAGUACGGCCGCAAGGUUAAAACUCAAAUGAAUUGACGGGGGCCCGCACAAGCGGUGGAGCAUGUGGUUUAAUUCGAUGCAACGCGAAGAACCUUACCUACUCUUGACAUCCAGCGAAUCCUUUAGAGAUAUAAGCAUGCCUUAGGGAGCGCUGAGACAGGUGCUGCAUGGCUGUCGUCAGCUCGUGUUGUGAAAUGUUGGGUUAAGUCCCGCAACGAGCGCAACCCUUAUCCUUUGUUGCCAGCGAUAAAGUCGGGAACUCAAAGGAGACUGCCGGUGAUAAACCGGAGGAAGGUGGGGAUGACGUCAAGUCAUCAU